Molecule: ribosomal RNA, 800 nt
Filed under: uncultured bacterium
Lineage: Bacteria
Description: bacterial SSU rRNA
Rfam family: Bacterial small subunit ribosomal RNA
Source: RNAcentral
GCCUUACAUGCAGUCGAACGGUAACGCGGGGCAACCUGGCGACGAGUGGCGAACGGGUGAGUAAUACAUCGGAACGUGCCCAGUAGUGGGGGAUAGCCCGGCGAAAGCCGGAUUAAUACCGCAUACGACCUACGGGUGAAAGCGGGGGAUCGCAAGACCUCGCGCUAUUGGAGCGGCCGAUGUCAGAUUAGGUAGUUGGUGAGGUAAAGGCUCACCAAGCCUACGAUCUGUAGCUGGUCUGAGAGGACGACCAGCCACACUGGGACUGAGACACGGCCCAGACUCCUACGGGAGGCAGCAGUGGGGAAUUUUGGACAAUGGGCGCAAGCCUGAUCCAGCCAUGCCGCGUGCGGGAAGAAGGCCUUCGGGUUGUAAACCGCUUUUGUCAGGGAAGAAACGCUCUGGGCUAAUACCCUGGGGUAAUGACGGUACCUGAAGAAUAAGCACCGGCUAACUACGUGCCAGCAGCCGCGGUAAUACGGAGGGUGCGAGCGUUAAUCGGAAUUACUGGGCGUAAAGCGCGCGUAGGUGGUUUGUUAAGUCAGCUGUGAAAGCCCCGGGCUCAACCUGGGAACUGCAGUUGAUACUGGCCGACUAGAGUACGAGAGAGGGAGGUAGAAUUCCAUGUGUAGCGGUGAAAUGCGUAGAUAUAUGGAGGAAUACCGGUGGCGAAGGCGGCCUCCUGGCUCGAUACUGACGCUGAGGUGCGAAAGCGUGGGGAUCAAACAGGAUUAGAUACCCUGGUAGUCCACGCCGUAAACGAUGUCUACUAGCCGUUGGGAGACUUGAUUUCUUAGUGG